Molecule: ribosomal RNA, 433 nt
Filed under: uncultured bacterium
Lineage: Bacteria
Description: partial 16S ribosomal RNA
Rfam family: Bacterial small subunit ribosomal RNA
Source: RNAcentral
AACGAACGCUGGCGGCAUGCCUAACACAUGCAAGUCGAACGAGACCUUCGGGUCUAGUGGCGCACGGGUUCGUAACGCGUGGGAACCUGCCCUUAGGUUCGGAAUAACUCCCCGACAGGGGUGCUAAUACCGGAUAAUGUCUUCGGACCAAAGAUUUAUCGCCUUUGGAUGGGCCCGCGUUGGAUUAGCUAGUUGGUAGGGUAAAAGCCUACCAAGGCGACGAUCCAUAGCUGGUCUGAGAGGAUGGUCAGCCACACUGGGACUGAGACACGGCCCAGACUCUUACGGGAGGCAGAAGUGGGGAAUAGUGGACAAUGGGCGAAAGCCUGAUCAAGCAAUGCCGCGUGAGUGAUGAAGGCCGUAGGGUUGUAAAGCUCUUUUACCCGGGAUGAUAAUGACAGUACCGGGAGAAUAAGCGCCGGCUAACUCCGUG